This is a long non-coding RNA of Mustela erminea (ermine), 1210 nucleotides long. RefSeq lists it as uncharacterized. NCBI's taxonomy places the organism in Eukaryota, Metazoa, Chordata, Mammalia, Carnivora, Mustelidae. The record is from RefSeq and is a predicted model, not a curated record. The transcript has 7 exons.
AGGAUCUUAGUGCUGAAAAGGACUCUGGGCAACAUCUAGUCCUAUAGAGUUCACACCACUUUAACACAGCACCCUUCACUCAAAUGGCAUCUUAUAUGGAAAUCAUCACUGAAAGUAGGUCAAAACACAACUGCUUUGGUGAAAUUGAGAGUGAGGAAUCUGAGCCUUCCUCCAAACCCCCUCGUUCUUAGGGGCUGCCCCUAGGCCUGCUUGACAGCCCUCACAAAGAGAAAGACUGAUUGGGGACCAACAACAAGAACUUCACUCAAAAGAAAUGAGCACAAUCUUGAGGUUAGAAGAUCUGGCUUCAAAUCUCUGAUCGGCUAUAUACUGAUUCUGUGACCUUGGGGCUUGCAAAAUUCCCAAAUUGUGAUAGGAGUUUAAAAAUAGUGUUUGAUCAAGGUUACAAAAUGAACCACUAUCAAACAUAGUUUUAAGAAGAUAAAGCAUUUACAUUGCCCUGUGAAUUGAUAUUUGGCAACAAUUUUGAGAGAAGAUUAGAAAGAGGAGAGAGUUGGAUUUGAGGAGGGUCAAUCUGAGAGAAGAAGAAGGUGUGCAAAAAAAGAGCACUAAUGAAGAAAGUGACCUCCCCAAACCACUGGAGUCAAAGAAGUCUUCUGUGAGGAAGAGAUCCAAGAAGUUCAGUGAACCUCAAGCAAGAGGAAUAUAAAGAAAAACAUAGCUAAUCACUUCAAAAUCAAAGGGAUGCCAUUCACCCAGUAACAACAGACUGAAGCACUGGAAGAAACCUUGUUCCUGGGCCAUGACGGCCUUCUCAUUUCUCAUCAGUCAUUUAUCCCUUGAUUCAGAUUUUCUUGUCUAGCCCUGAUUAGCAUACCAUCAUCUCCAGACAAAGAACAAAACCUAUGUAAUUGGCUCUGCUUCUAAAUGAAAGCACACUAUGUUAAGAACAUUGUUUCUAUAUUUACAAAUCCAAGACAUGAUUGAAAGCGUCACGCUCUCAGUGUAGGAACAAUAUGCCCAUAAUCAAACAUCCAGAGCAAAUUGUAUGAUUAUUUGUAUUAUCCAGGAUUUCAAGGCUGUUUCAGGGCAGAGAAGCCAAGUAGAAAUAUGUCAACUUUUUCAGCAGCCCCUUUUCUCCUGCAUACACAAAUUAAACUAUUUUUGUGCAUUAUUUUGUCUAAAAUUUUGACACAAAUUCCCCUAAACAUUCUAAACUUAUGGAUCAUAAAUAAAUGUUACUGAGUUG